Molecule: transfer RNA, 83 nt
Organism: Monoraphidium neglectum
Lineage: Eukaryota; Viridiplantae; Chlorophyta; Chlorophyceae; Sphaeropleales; Selenastraceae
Rfam family: tRNA
About the family: Transfer RNA (tRNA) molecules are approximately 80 nucleotides in length. Their secondary structure includes four short double-helical elements and three loops (D, anti-codon, and T loops).
Source: Rfam
GCGAACGUGGCGAAAUGGUAGACGCAAAGCCUUCAAAAGGCUUGGGUCACGUGACUGUGCGGGUUCAAGUCCCGCCGUUCGCA